Salvia miltiorrhiza (redroot sage) is the source of this 203-nucleotide long non-coding RNA. RefSeq lists it as uncharacterized. NCBI's taxonomy places the organism in Eukaryota, Viridiplantae, Streptophyta, Magnoliopsida, Lamiales, Lamiaceae. The record is from RefSeq and is a predicted model, not a curated record. The transcript has 3 exons.
CGCAAAUUCUGUCAGCCGGUGUCUUCUCUCGAAUACUUUCAAUCGGUGCGGUGCUAUUAAGACCCUCAUUCCGGAUUUUAUUUAAUUGCCUACGACUUUAAGUUUUGCAGUUUUGGAGUCGAGGUGGCCAUGGAAGUCGAGAAUGACUAGCGAUUUAGUAUUUCCAUAGAAAUUUAAGUUGAACAUGUCACAUUGUUUUAGUU